This is a long non-coding RNA of Passer domesticus (house sparrow), 995 nucleotides long. RefSeq lists it as uncharacterized. The record is from RefSeq and is a predicted model, not a curated record. The transcript has 3 exons. NCBI's taxonomy places the organism in Eukaryota, Metazoa, Chordata, Aves, Passeriformes, Passeridae.
ACCUGCCACAACCUCGGGGGUCUCGUCACACAGGGCAAUCAGUCACACUUUGACAGAGUGUCUGUCACCGUGUUAACACAGGCACAUGGCGACACACUUCAUGGGCACGUGUUCAGAGACGGACAGAAAGGAUUGGCCUUUAGGCCCUAGCAAGAGCAGCAUUUCAGCGCUAGGAUAAAAUUGCUGUACCGGGAGAUUUGUGCCAACAUCUUCAAAUAUAUCCUGAGCUUAGAUGUUCAGUUUGGAGAAUCACAGAAUCACUGAGGCUGCAAGAGACCUGCAGGGCCAUCAAGCCCAACCUUCAGCUGAAUCCCCCCGAACCACACUGGGAAACAACCUGUCCACUCAUUUUCCCAGCAGUUCCAGGGAUGGUGACUCCAGCAGUGCCCUGGGCAGCUGUGCCAGUGCUUAACCACUCCUCCAGGGAUGGAAUCUUCCCUGCUGUCCAACCUGGGCCUCCCUCAGCAUGGCCUGAGCCGUUUCCUCUCGUCCUGCCCCUUGUUCCUGGGGAGAAGAGACUGACCCUCGCCUGGCUGCCCCCUCCUGCCAGGGACACGAGGAGAGCUCCUUCAGGCAGUUUGAGAGCAGUUUUCCAGGGAGGUUGCUUGCCAGCAAAAUGGGGAAAAACACAAACCCAAAUCAGGUUUUGGGUUUCAGACACCAACAGGGAGUGGAACACUUCUGCUCUUGGGGCUGUUGCUGAAUGCAGAGCACGUCUGUGGGGAAGGAGUAAGUGCAGAGUGGAGCAGCAAGAGAGAACCUGCAUCUUCCACGCUGUCUUGGCUCUGCCAGACUCCACACUCUUCGCUCAGAGUCGUUCUGGGAGGGAUGCUUAAAAAAAACACAGAUAUUCCCCAUCAAAGUGUGUCUGUGGCAAUCCACACCCGCCCAGCUCCUCCAUGAGGAGAUUCAGCUGCUGCUCUUGACAACUGAAUGGACUGAACAGAUCAUUCGUGCCAGCACCAAAAGAGAGAGCAGCAUUUAACUGAGAGAAG